RNAcentral lists this non-coding RNA (226 nucleotides) under Fictibacillus arsenicus. RNAcentral describes it as "T-box sequence". It matches the Rfam family "T-box leader". Rfam says of the family: Uncharged tRNA acts as the effector for transcription antitermination of genes in the T-box leader family. T-boxes are found upstream of many aminoacyl-tRNA synthetase genes and some amino acid biosynthetic genes usually in Gram-positive bacteria. The record is from RNAcentral. Lineage: Bacteria; Bacillati; Bacillota; Bacilli; Caryophanales; Fictibacillaceae.
UAUGUGACGAAGACGGGGACAGUAAGGUACUUUUCUCUAUUAUAGCGAACCAGGAAAUGGUGCAAGCCUGGUAUAGAGCGGUAUUCGAAGAUCACCCCUGAGUUCCUGGACUGAAAACUUUAGUAAGUUCAGGCGCUUCAUCCACGCUACGGAUGACUAAGCGGGUUUUAGAUGAAAAUCAGAACCUAUUAGGGUGGUACCGCGGGUUAACCUUCUCGUCCCUACU